ACUUUAAUUGAAGAGUUUGAUCAUGGCUCAGAUUGAACGCUGGCGGCAGGCCUAACACAUGCAAGUCGAGCGGAAACGACUUAACUGAACCUUCGGGGAACGUUAAGGGCGUCGAGCGGCGGACGGGUGAGUAAUGCCUGGGAAUAUGCCUUAGUGUGGGGGAUAACUAUUGGAAACGAUAGCUAAUACCGCAUAACGUCUACGGACCAAAGAGGGGGACCUUCGGGCCUCUCGCGCUAAGAUUAGCCCAGGUGAGAUUAGCUAGUUGGUGAGGUAAGAGCUCACCAAGGCGACGAUCUCUAGCUGGUCUGAGAGGAUGAUCAGCCACACUGGAACUGAGACACGGUCCAGACUCCUACGGGAGGCAGCAGUGGGGAAUAUUGCACAAUGGGCGAAAGCCUGAUGCAGCCAUGCCGCGUGUAUGAAGAAGGCCUUCGGGUUGUAAAGUACUUUCAGUAGGGAGGAAGGUGUUGUAGUUAAUAGCUGCAGCAUUUGACGUUACCUACAGAAGAAGCACCGGCUAACUCCGUGCCAGCAGCCGCGGUAAUACGGAGGGUGCGAGCGUUAAUCGGAAUUACUGGGCGUAAAGCGCAUGCAGGUGGUUCAUUAAGUCAGAUGUGAAAGCCCGGGGCUCAACCUCGGAACCGCAUUUGAAACUGGUGAACUAGAGUGCUGUAGAGGGGGGUAGAAUUUCAGGUGUAGCGGUGAAAUGCGUAGAGAUCUGAAGG
Molecule: ribosomal RNA, 728 nt
Filed under: Aliivibrio fischeri SR5
Lineage: Bacteria; Pseudomonadati; Pseudomonadota; Gammaproteobacteria; Vibrionales; Vibrionaceae
Description: bacterial SSU rRNA
Rfam family: Bacterial small subunit ribosomal RNA
Source: RNAcentral